This 462-nucleotide ribosomal RNA is filed under the name uncultured beta proteobacterium. Its description in RNAcentral is "bacterial SSU rRNA". It matches the Rfam family "Bacterial small subunit ribosomal RNA", at positions 187 to 645 of the family's 1533-position model. Lineage: Bacteria; Pseudomonadati; Pseudomonadota; Betaproteobacteria. The record is from RNAcentral.
GGAAGCAGGGGAUCGUAAGACCUUAUGCUUUUGGAGUGGCCGAUGUCUGAUUAGCUAGUUGGUGGGGUAAGGGCCUACCAAGGCGACGAUCAGUAGUUGGUCUGAGAGGACGGCCAGCCACACUGGGACUGAGACACGGCCCAGACUCCUACGGGAGGCAGCAGUGGGGAAUUUUGGACAAUGGGCGAAAGCCUGAUCCAGCAAUGCCGCGUGAGUGAAGAAGGCCUUCGGGUUGUAAAGCUCUUUCAGUUGGGAAGAAAAGAUUGUGAUGAAUAAUCGCAAUUUAUGACGGUACCGAAAGAAGAAGCACCGGCUAACUACGUGCCAGCAGCCGCGGUAAUACGUAGGGUGCCAGCGUUAAUCGGAAUUACUGGGCGUAAAGGGUGCGCAGGCGGUUCUGUAAGUCAGAUGUGAAAUCCCCGGGCUUAACCUGGGAACUGCGUUUGAAACUACAAAGCUAGA